This is a non-coding RNA of Heterocephalus glaber (naked mole-rat), 832 nucleotides long. NCBI's taxonomy places the organism in Eukaryota, Metazoa, Chordata, Mammalia, Rodentia, Bathyergidae. The record is from RefSeq and is a predicted model, not a curated record.
CUGCCGGGGCCCGUCGGGGGUGCGAAGGUGGCCGCGGUUGCCGCAGAAGUUGGUCCGAGAACCCGCGACGGCCCGCGCCGGGGUCGCAGGGCCCUCAGGACCGCCUCCUCGAGGUCACCGCGCCCAGGGAAGCCUGUGGCAGGCACAGGUGUUGUGAUCUUCUGCUAACAGGACCCACCUCCUGAGGGCCACCUUGGGACUCCCGACAGGAAGACAGCGGCCGCUUUACCUCUUCUCCAUUUCUGCCACUUCCAUGAGGCGGUCAGGACAGUGGGCCUGUUGGUGGGGUCCAGGAAAGACCCCACUCAGAGUCCUCCGUGGAAGUGUGGACUAGGAGUGUGCCUAGAACAGCUCCUGGCAGGGCGAAACACCCUAGGCAGCCCCUGUCCCGGCUGGGCGGGGGCAGGGCCCUGUAGUGGGAGUGCAGGCAUCCUAGAGGGACCCUUUGUGGUCACCACAGCAGGCUCUGCAGGUGAGGGGAGGCUGUGUAGCCUUGGGGCUGAGGACCUGCAGAGCUUACUCCCUGCAGCUGCGUUCUGUGGGUGACUCUCAAUGAACCGGGGUUCUCACUUCAGUGCUGGGCAUGAGCAGGAACGGUGAGAGCAGGACAGGCUCCAGCAUGGUCCACAGCACAGCCCGACCUCAUCCUCUUCCUGGACUGCCCAGUGGGGAGGCAGUGGCUACCGUGGGAUCCCUUCGCAGCAUUGCCUGGGAAGAUGACCUGCCCUGCAGGGCGCCGUGGGAUCUCAGCACCUCCACACUUCCCACAGCUCACACCAUUGUCUUCAAAGCAAAAUUUAAAACUCAAAAGUAAACUUUUCAGCAACUAGAA